This 497-nucleotide ribosomal RNA is filed under the name uncultured bacterium. Its description in RNAcentral is "partial 16S ribosomal RNA". It matches the Rfam family "Bacterial small subunit ribosomal RNA", at positions 28 to 507 of the family's 1533-position model. The record is from RNAcentral.
GACGAACGCUGGCGGCGUGCCUAAUACAUGCAAGUAGAACGCUGAAGCGAGGAGCUUACUCUUCUUGGAUGAGUCGCGAACGGGUGAGUAACGCGUAGGUAACCUGCCUUGUAGCGGGGGAUAACUAUUGGAAACGAUAGCUAAUACCGCAUAACAAUGGAUGACACAUGUCAUUUAUUUGAAAGGGGCAAUUGCUCCACUACAAGACGGACCUGCGUUGUAUUAGCUAGUAGGUGAGGUAAUGGCUCACCUAGGCGACGAUACAUAGCCGACCUGAGAGGGUGGUCGGCCGCACUGGGACUGAGACACGGCCCAGACUCCUACGGGAGGCAGCAGUAGGGAAUCUGCGGCAAUGGGGGCAACCCUGACCGAGCAACGCCGCGUGAGGGAAGAAGGUUUUCGGAUCGUAAAGCUCUGUUGUAAGUCAAGAACGGGUGUGAGAGUGGAAAGUUCACACUGUGACGGUAGCUUACCAGAAAGAGACGGCUAACUACGUG